UGCGGAAGGAUCAUUUGCGGAGGGAUCAUUACACGAGUAUGCGGGCGGCCUGGAACCUCUCGGGGUUACUGCCGUUCCUUGCUGAAUUAUUCUCCUUGUCUUGCAAGGGUUGCGUACUUCUUGUUUCCUUGGUGGGUUCGGCCACCACUAGGACAAAGCCUGACCCGUAAACCUUUUGUCAUUUAACUUGCAAUCAUUGUCAGAAACAGGUGUCAUUUAAUAUUUACAACUUUCAACAACGGAUCUCUUGGUUCUGGAAUCGAUGAAGAACGCAUCGAAAUGCGGGAAUUGUGUGAUUUGCAGAAAGAAUCCUUCCGUGAUUUUCGAAUCUAACUUGAACGCCCUUGCGCCCCUUGGCUAAGGGCACGUCUGCCUGGGCGUCACGCAUCGCGUCUCCCCCACAGGUUGGGAAGGAUGAUGGCUUCCCGUGCCUCACCGGGUGCGGUUGGCUUAAACUUGGAGCCCACGGUAAAUAUUUGCCGCGGCGAUAGGUGGUGAACUUGGCUUAGGCCGUGUAAACAACCCGUUGCGGUGUGU
RNAcentral lists this ribosomal RNA (537 nucleotides) under Dianthus viscidus. RNAcentral describes it as "eukaryotic LSU rRNA". The stretch from base 228 to 383 matches the Rfam family "5.8S ribosomal RNA". Lineage: Eukaryota; Viridiplantae; Streptophyta; Magnoliopsida; Caryophyllales; Caryophyllaceae. The record is from RNAcentral.